CGAAACCUUGGAACCUCUCCACCGGCAGCCGGCAGCGAGUCCCGUUUGAACCCCGAGUCUGAAUCCGGGUUUAAACCCCGGCUACGCACUCGCCGGCUGUUGACCUUGAUCAAGUCGCGUUCCUGGAAGCCAGCUUACCACCCGCCAGCGUGCACAACUGGCUUCCCCACAGAUGCCCACCAUAGAGAAUACCUUGUGCCUAGUCUGCCCUGGCUGCUUGACUGUGUUAGGGGACAGCCUGGAUUCCUCUGCUACGGGAAAUGGAAGGACCAUCCAAUUUGCAAGCCACGAAGGCUGAUAUUGUAGCCGUGAAAUUGGACUCCAAGAUUUCUGCAAGCAAAAAUAGACACACUAAGAUUCUGCAAAUUAAGGAUGUCAUAGGAUAUUUCUUUUUCUCUGUCUGACUUACUUCACUCGGUAAGACAUGGUCCAAAAGGAUACACGUACCCCAGUGUUCAUUGCAGCACUACUGACAAUAGCCAGGACAUGGAAGCAACCUAAAAGUCCAUUGACAGAGGAAUGGAUAAAGAAGAUGUGGUACAUAUAUACAGUGGAAUAUUUCUCAGCCAUUAAAAAGAAUGAAGUAAUGAUACUUGCAGCAUAAUGGAUGAAACUAGAGAUGGUCUCCACUGCUCUUGAAAAGUCUCUAGGGAUGGGAGUCAAGUGAAGAGAAGAGACCUCUCAGAGAAGGACCAAGAAGAGGCAGCUGAUUCACUGAGCAUCCAGGUAAUCCACCACCACUCAGAAGAGACGGAGGCAACCAUUCACAGUGGAGCACAGUGGUGGAGCCCUUGGUGAAUGAGUCCAGCUUGGGCAGCUGGGACAAGAGCCCAAGAAAAGGGAGGGGACAGUCAAGGCAGGAGGAGGCAGGGAAGUGUUCAGGGAAACAUGCCCUACAAGAGCCCGAGCAGACAUGAAAGCUGACAGAACACUAGAGAAGGAUGAAAGCUGAGCUGUUCUGUCUGGAGCAGGAAAGCAGAAGGUGGAAUUCUGAGAUCAAGGAGGUCAGUAGGGAGAUGGAGAGAUAGUGGGAAAUCAAG
Dama dama (fallow deer) is the source of this 1040-nucleotide long non-coding RNA. RefSeq lists it as uncharacterized. The transcript is spliced from 4 exons. Lineage: Eukaryota; Metazoa; Chordata; Mammalia; Artiodactyla; Cervidae. The record is from RefSeq and is a predicted model, not a curated record.